GCCUCAAUGGUCUAAUGGCUAUGACGCUAGCCUGUCGCGCUGGAGACUCGGGUUCGAUUCCCGGUUGGGGCG
RNAcentral lists this transfer RNA (72 nucleotides) under marine sediment metagenome. It matches the Rfam family "tRNA". From Rfam's summary of the family: Transfer RNA (tRNA) molecules are approximately 80 nucleotides in length. RNAcentral also lists the same sequence under 1 other name. The record is from RNAcentral.